AUUGAACGCUGGCGGCAUGCCUUACACAUGCAAGUCGAACGGCAGCACGGGUGCUUGCACCUGGUGGCGAGUGGCGAACGGGUGAGUAAUAUAUCGGAACGUACCUUAUCGUGGGGGAUAACGCAGCGAAAGCUGUGCUAAUACCGCAUAAGCCCUUAGGGGGAAAGCAGGGGACCGUAAGGCCUUGCGCGAUUAGAGCGGCCGAUACCUGAUUAGCUAGUUGGUGAGGUAAAGGCUCACCAAGGCAACGAUCAGUAGCUGGUCUGAGAGGACGAUCAGCCACACUGGGACUGAGACACGGCCCAGACUCCUACGGGAGGCAGCAGUGGGGAAUUUUGGACAAUGGGGGCAACCCUGAUCCAGCAAUGCCGCGUGAGUGAAGAAGGCCU
RNAcentral lists this ribosomal RNA (389 nucleotides) under uncultured bacterium. RNAcentral describes it as "bacterial SSU rRNA". It matches the Rfam family "Bacterial small subunit ribosomal RNA", at positions 30 to 417 of the family's 1533-position model. The record is from RNAcentral.